RNAcentral lists this ribosomal RNA (666 nucleotides) under uncultured prokaryote. Its description in RNAcentral is "bacterial SSU rRNA". It matches the Rfam family "Bacterial small subunit ribosomal RNA", at positions 524 to 1189 of the family's 1533-position model. The record is from RNAcentral.
UACGGAGGGGGCUAGCGUUGUUCGGAAUUACUGGGCGUAAAGCGCGCGUAGGCGGGCUGUUAAGUCGGGGGUGAAAUCCCGGGGCUCAACCCCGGAACUGCCUUCGAUACUGGCAGCCUAGAGGUCGAGAGAGGUGAGUGGAAUUCCGAGUGUAGAGGUGAAAUUCGUAGAUAUUCGGAGGAACACCAGUGGCGAAGGCGGCUCACUGGCUCGAUACUGACGCUGAGGUGCGAAAGUGUGGGGAACAAACAGGAUUAGAUACCCUGGUAGUCCACACCGUAAACGAUGAAUGCCAGACGUCGGGCAGCAUGCUGUUCGGUGUCACACCUAACGGAUUANGCAUUCCGCCUGGGGAGUACGGCCGCAAGGUUAAAACUCAAAGGAAUUGACGGGGGCCCGCACAAGCGGUGGAGCAUGUGGUUAAUUCGAAGCAACGCGCAGAACCUUACCAACCCUUGACAUCCCUGUCGCAGAUACCGGAGACGGUUUCCAUCAGUUCGGCUGGACAGGUGACAGGUGCUGCAUGGCUGUCGUCAGCUCGUAUCGUGAGAGGUUCGGUUAAGUCCGGCAACGAGCGCAACCCACACCCUUAGUUGCCAGCAUUCAGUUGGGCACUCUAGGGGAACUGCCGAUGAUAAGUCGGAGGAAGGUGUGGAUGACGUCAAG